GCCCCAGUAGCUCAGCUGGAUAGAGCAGUUCCCUCCUAAGGAAAAGGUCAUGUGUUCGAAUCGCGUCUGGGGCGCCA
Molecule: transfer RNA, 77 nt
Filed under: Candidatus Stygibacter australis
Lineage: Bacteria; Pseudomonadati; Candidatus Cloacimonadota; Cloacimonadia (SeqCode); Cloacimonadales (SeqCode)
Description: tRNA-Arg
Rfam family: tRNA
About the family: Transfer RNA (tRNA) molecules are approximately 80 nucleotides in length. Their secondary structure includes four short double-helical elements and three loops (D, anti-codon, and T loops). Further hydrogen bonds mediate the characteristic L-shaped molecular structure. tRNAs have two regions of fundamental functional importance: the anti-codon, which is responsible for specific mRNA codon recognition, and the 3' end, to which the tRNAs corresponding amino acid is attached (by aminoacyl-tRNA synthetases). tRNAs cope with the degeneracy of the genetic code in two manners: having more than one tRNA (with a specific anti-codon) for a particular amino acid; and 'wobble' base-pairing, i.e. permitting non-standard base-pairing at the 3rd anti-codon position.
Source: RNAcentral